Molecule: ribosomal RNA, 498 nt
Filed under: uncultured bacterium
Lineage: Bacteria
Description: bacterial SSU rRNA
Rfam family: Bacterial small subunit ribosomal RNA
Source: RNAcentral
ACGGGUGAGUAACGCGUGAGAAUCUGCCUUCUCGUCUGGGACAACACAAGGAAACUUCUGCUAAUCCCGGAUGAGCCUUAGGGUAAAAGAUAUAUUGCCUGGAGAUGAGCUCUCGUCUGAUUAUCUAUUUGGUGUGAUAAAAGCAUACCAAGGCGACGAUCACUAUCUGGUCUGAGAGGAUGAGCACCCACACUGGGACUGAGACACGGCCCACACUCCUACGGGAGGCACCACUGGGGAAUUUUCCGCACUGGGCGAAAGCCUGACAGAGCACGACCGCGUGGGGGAGAAAAGCUCUAGGGUUGUAAACCCCUUUUCUUUGGGAAAAAAAACUGACGGUACCUAAAGAAUCAGCCUCGGCUAACUCCGUGCCAGCAACCGCGGUAAUACCGAAGAAGCAAGCGUUAUCCGGAAUGAUUGGGCGUUAAGCGUCCGUAGAUGGCCAUGUAAGUCUGCUGUCAAAACCCAGGACUUCACUCUGGUCAAGCGAUGGAAACU